UGAGGAAUAUUGGUCAAUGGACGGAAGUCUGAACCAGCCAUCCCGCGUGAAGGAAGAAGGCGCUAUGCGUUGUAAACUUCUUUUCCGAGAGAAGAAAACCCCCGACGUGUCGGGGCUUGUCGGUAUCUUGGGAAUAAGCAUCGGCUAACUCCGUGCCAGCAGCCGCGGUAAUACGGAGGAUGCGAGCGUUAUCCGGAUUCAUUGGGUUUAAAGGGUGCGUAGGCGGACCGAUAAGUCAGUGGUGAAAACCUGCAGCUUAACUGUAGAACUGCCAUUGAUACUGUCGGACUUGAGUAUGGUCAAGGUAGGCGGAAUGUGUAAUGUAGCGGUGAAAUGCUUAGAUAUUACACAGAACACCGAUUGCGAAGGCAGCUUGCUGGGCCAUUACUGACGCUGAUGCACGAAAGCGUGGGGAGCAAACAGG
Molecule: ribosomal RNA, 424 nt
Filed under: uncultured bacterium
Lineage: Bacteria
Description: bacterial SSU rRNA
Rfam family: Bacterial small subunit ribosomal RNA
Source: RNAcentral